Long non-coding RNA from Suricata suricatta (meerkat), 1269 nucleotides. RefSeq lists it as uncharacterized. NCBI's taxonomy places the organism in Eukaryota, Metazoa, Chordata, Mammalia, Carnivora, Herpestidae. The transcript has 2 exons. The record is from RefSeq and is a predicted model, not a curated record.
UUUGACUGCGGUGGUUCGCGCCGCCGCUUCUGCUGAGUUGGCGCCGUUCCUGCGGUUCAGGAGCGGUGGGCUGGGCCGUCCCGGCGUUGGAAGGGCAUCCUCCUCGCUCUAGGCCGUAGCAUCUGCACUUGUCUUUUCUCUCAGUUCAAGCCUCAGCCCCUCGCCGCCCACCUCGAUCUCCCCAACUGCGGACACGUUCAAAUAUUUCCGUGCUCAGGAAUUGCAAAUACCGGUGUGGCUAAAUCAUGGUGAUGGGGGAGAUUGUAGGACGCUCUUCUCAAACUUUAAUAGGAGCCUGCAUUUCUCAUUAAAAUUAAGGUCUGAUUCGUUAGGUCAGGUGUGUGUGGUCCACAAGUCUUCAUUCCUUACUAGCUCCCCCGUGACGUUCGGGCCGCCGGCGGGUGGACCACACUGCGUGCUGACGUUGUAAUAGAAGAGAUUGAACUGGCAUCCAAGGGCCAGAUCGCGUGGAGUCCUGCGGUCCACGUUAAGGACUCUGUUGGAGUUGGGCGAGCAGGCAAUAAAGCCUUAUUAUAAUUCCCACAGUUUAGGGAAGAAGCUGGACGUAAACCUAAAAGGAUCAAUGACUACACUCUUCGGUUCAGCAGAGGAGAAUGUAUGGAUCUCAGAGCAUAUGAUGAGGGAGGGGGCUGCUAAACUCGUCUGAGAGGUUAGGGAAGGCUUCUGCGGGAGGCUGACGCUCAGGUUGAAAUCGAAGGAAUUACGCAGAAAUUGCACCUACAGAACUCCCGACAGUGUGAAGGAGAGAAGGGAACAGUCACUCCACGGUCUUGGAGCCCCUGUGUGCUGCCUCUCCCUCAGAUGAGUGUGAACUGCAUUCGAAGAAUAAAGUGUGGCAAAGCCCAAGGACAGGAGCCUUACCGCGGAGACCCCUGACAGCACCUUAACCAGAUGGUCCAGGCUCAUAUCUCGGUAGGAGCCUCACUGACAUCACGUGGCUCUGACCUGGUGUCAUCAGAAGCGCACCUGGCCCCCGUGGGUUUCUUCCCAGCAACAUGGAGCCCCCAAGCCGAGGAGGAGGAGAAAAAUACCAGAUACACUCAAACUGAGCGAUACUCUCCAGGAAACGUGACCAGUACCUUGGAAAACUGUCCCAGCCGUGAAAAAGAAACAUUGGAGGAGCUGUCACAGAUUGAAGGAGACCCAGGGGACAUGAGGCCAGAAUGAGAUGUGGGAUCCCUGGGUCAGGAAAGGGGCAUUUGUGGGGGAAAAACUGGUGACAUCGAAAUAAAGCCUGAAAACAGUGGA